GAUGAACGCUGGCGGCGCAUUUAAGACAUGCAAGUCGAACGAAAACUUUUUACCGAAUUGAUAUGACGAUUUAUCUGAAUUGAAAUUCACCAAAAAGUUUUAGUGGCGGACGGGUGAGUAAUACGUAGAUAAUCUGCCUUUUAGAGGGAAAUAACAAGAAGAAAUUUUUGCUAAUGUCCCAUAAGACCACAUUGUGGCAUCACAAAAGUGAUCAAAGGAGAAAUCCGCUAAAAGAUGAGUCUACGGCUGAUUAGCCAGUUGGCGGGGUAAAGGCCCACCAAAGCUAUGAUCAGUAGCCGAGCUGAGAGGCUGGCCGGCCACAUUGGGACUGAGACACGGCCCAG
RNAcentral lists this ribosomal RNA (344 nucleotides) under uncultured bacterium. RNAcentral's name for it is "bacterial SSU rRNA". It matches the Rfam family "Bacterial small subunit ribosomal RNA", at positions 28 to 334 of the family's 1533-position model. The record is from RNAcentral.